This 393-nucleotide ribosomal RNA is filed under the name uncultured bacterium. RNAcentral's name for it is "partial 16S ribosomal RNA". It matches the Rfam family "Bacterial small subunit ribosomal RNA", at positions 523 to 918 of the family's 1533-position model. The record is from RNAcentral.
AUACGGAGGAUGCAAGCGUUAUCCGGAUUUAUUGGGUUUAAAGGGUGCGUAGGCGGGACUGUAAGUCAGGGGUGAAAUACUGCAGCUUAACUGUAGCAUUGCCUUUGAAACUGCCGUUCUUGAGUACAGUUGAGGUAGGCGGAAUGUGGUGUGUAGCGGUGAAAUGCAUAGAUAUACCACAGAACGCCGAUUGCGAAGGCAGCUAACUAAGCUGUUACUGACGCUGAGGCACGAAAGCGUGGGGAUCAAACAGGAUUAGAUACCCUGGUAGUCCACGCUGUAAACGAUGAUUACUAACCGUCGGCGAUAGACCGCCGGUGGCCAAGCGAAAGCGAUAAGUCAUCCACCUGGGGAGUACGACCGCAAGGUUAAAACUCAAAUGAAUUGGCGGGG